Molecule: ribosomal RNA, 705 nt
Filed under: Marinovum sp.
Lineage: Bacteria; Pseudomonadati; Pseudomonadota; Alphaproteobacteria; Rhodobacterales; Roseobacteraceae
Description: bacterial SSU rRNA
Rfam family: Bacterial small subunit ribosomal RNA
Source: RNAcentral
GGGGCUACCAUGCAAGUCGAGCGAGCUCUUCGGAGCUAGCGGCGGACGGGUUAGUAACGCGUGGGAACGUGCCCUUCACUGCGGAAUAGCCACUGGAAACGGUGAGUAAUACCGCAUACGCCCUUCGGGGGAAAGAUUUAUCGGUGAAGGAUCGGCCCGCGUUAGAUUAGAUAGUUGGUGGGGUAACGGCCUACCAAGUCUACGAUCUAUAGCUGGUUUUAGAGGAUGAUCAGCAACACUGGGACUGAGACACGGCCCAGACUCCUACGGGAGGCAGCAGUGGGGAAUCUUGGACAAUGGGCGCAAGCCUGAUCCAGCCAUGCCGCGUGAGUGAUGAAGGCCUUAGGGUCGUAAAGCUCUUUCGCCAGAGAUGAUAAUGACAGUAUCUGGUAAAGAAACCCCGGCUAACUCCGUGCCAGCAGCCGCGGUAAUACGGAGGGGGUUAGCGUUGUUCGGAAUUACUGGGCGUAAAGCGCACGUAGGCGGAUCAGAAAGUUGGGGGUGAAAUCCCGGGGCUCAACCCCGGAACUGCCUCCAAAACUCCUGGUCUUGAGUUCGAGAGAGGUGAGUGGAAUUCCGAGUGUAGAGGUGAAAUUCGUAGAUAUUCGGAGGAACACCAGUGGCGAAGGCGGCUCACUGGCUCGAUACUGACGCUGAGGUGCGAAAGUGUGGGGAGCAAACAGGAUUAGAUACCCUGGUAGUCCA